GUGAAAGGCCAAUCAAACUUCGUGAUAGCUGGUUCUCUCCGAAAUAUAUUUAGGUAUAGCGUUGUGUCGUAAUAUAAGGGGGUAGAGCACUGAAUGGGCUAGGGCAUACACCAAUGUACCAAACCCUAUCAAACUCCGAAUACCUUAUAUGUAAUCACAGCAGUCAGGCGGCGAGUGAUAAAAUCCGUCGUCAAGAGGGAAACAACCCAGACUACCAGCUAAGGUCCCUAAAUCUUACUUAAGUGGAAAACGAUGUGAAGUUACUUAAACAACCAGGAGGUUGGCUUAGAAGCAGCCAUCCUUUAAAGAAAGCGUAAUAGCUCACUGGUCUAGUGAUUUUGCGCGGAAAAUAUAACGGGGCUAAAGUAAGUACCGAAGCUGUAGACUUGCGCACAACUUAGAUUAUUUAAGUUUAGAAUAUGAGAAACUAAGUUAUAUGUUUAGUUAUAUUUUUACUGAUUUUUAUAGAGUAAAGAUAGAAAUAAAACUUAGUAAAAUCAGUAAAAAUAUUCUUAGACUAAAGUUAAGUAGUUUAAGUUGUGUGCAAGUGGUAGGAGAGCGUUCUAUUUGCGUCGAAGGUAUACCGGUAAGGAGUGCUGGAGCGAAUAGAAGUGAGCAUGCAGGCAUGAGUAGCGAUAAUUAAUGUGAGAAUCAUUAACGCCGUAAACCCAAGGUUUCCUACGCGAUGCUCGUCAUCGUAGGGUUAGUCGGGUCCUAAGUCGAGUCCGAAAGGGGUAGACGAUGGCAAAUUGGUUAAUAUUCCAAUACCAACAUUAGUGUGCGAUGGAAGGACGCUUAGGGCUAAGGGGGCUAGCGGAUGGAAGUGCUAGUCUAAGGUCGUAGGAGGUUAUACAGGCAAAUCCGUAUAACAAUACUCCGAGAACUGAAAGGCUUUUUGAAGUCUUCGGAUGGAUAGAAGAACCCCUGAUGCCGUCGAGCCAAGAAAAGUUUCUAAGUUUAGCUAAUGUUGCCCGUACCGUAAACCGACACAGGUGGGUGGGAUGAGUAUUCUAAGGCGCGUGGAAGAACUCUCUUUAAGGAACUCUGCAAAAUAGCACCGUA
RNAcentral lists this ribosomal RNA (1062 nucleotides) under Campylobacter coli. RNAcentral's name for it is "partial 23S ribosomal RNA". It matches the Rfam family "Bacterial large subunit ribosomal RNA", at positions 821 to 1732 of the family's 2925-position model. The record is from RNAcentral. Lineage: Bacteria; Pseudomonadati; Campylobacterota; Epsilonproteobacteria; Campylobacterales; Campylobacteraceae.